This 511-nucleotide ribosomal RNA is filed under the name uncultured bacterium. Its description in RNAcentral is "bacterial SSU rRNA". It matches the Rfam family "Bacterial small subunit ribosomal RNA", at positions 355 to 865 of the family's 1533-position model. The record is from RNAcentral.
UAAGGAAUAUUGGUCAAUGGACGAAAGUCUGAACCAGCCAUGCCGCGUGAAGGAUGAAGGUCCUCUGGAUUGUAAACUUCUUUUAUAUGGGACGAAAAAAGGGWAUUCUUWCUCACUUGACGGUACCAKAGGAAUAAGCACCGGCUAACUCCGUGCCAGCAGCCGCGGUAAUACGGAGGGUGCAAGCGUUAUCCGGAUUCACUGGGUUUAAAGGGUGCGUAGGUGGGUAAGUAAGUCAGYGGUGAAAUCUCCGAGCUUAACUCGGAAACUGCCRUUGAUACUAUUUAUCUUGAAUAUUGUGGAGGUAAGCGGAAUAUGUCAUGUAGCGGUGAAAUGCUUAGAUAUGACAUAGAACACCAAUUGCGAAGGCAGCUYACUACGSAKUYAUUGACGCUGAGGCACGAAAGCGUGGGGAUCAAACAGGAUUAGAUACCCUGGUAGUCCACGCCCUAAACGAUGGAUACUCGACAUACGCGAUACACUGUGAUGUGUCUGAGCGAAAGCAUUAAGU